UAGAAGCAGCAGAGCUAAGAUUCCAAUCUGGGUCCUCUAACGCCAACCCAUCAUCUGUCUGCUAAACAAAAGAACAUUACAGCUUCAUGCCAGGCUAAGAGGGCCUUCAGAGGAAGGGGAGAUCAGUUGGUUUGAAGAGGAGGCUGCUUGGAGGAAGAAGGGAACUAGGACUAAGCCUUGAAUGAAGCUGAACAGACAAGAACAAAGGAGAUUUCAACAGGAGGCAGAAGAAAGAAAGCUAAUGUCAGGGAAGGGCCACAUCUGAUUGUAAAGGCAAAAACUUGGGUCUUUCCUUGGCCCCUAGAGGAAAUUUGGAGGGGUCACGCUGCCAUCAAUAAUCCUCAGCUAUUUGCAGGUCUGAGUCAAAUUGCCCAAUGGUUAGAACAUUCAUUCAAUAAACAAUGAGAACCUACUGUUUUAGAGACUGUGAUACAAGUGAUCAGGGAGAAAUAAGAGCAUAUUGAUGAUAAUAAUAAUAACAUCCACUUUUGAGUGCUUAAGAUUUGGAUUAUACUUUCACCAGGUAGAUAGUUUAUUAUCAUC
Molecule: long non-coding RNA, 543 nt
Filed under: Monodelphis domestica (gray short-tailed opossum)
Lineage: Eukaryota; Metazoa; Chordata; Mammalia; Didelphimorphia; Didelphidae
Description: lncRNA (ENSMODG00000046705.1)
Source: RNAcentral